AACCUUAAACAUUGAGGGUAAUAAGGUUUCAUGAUAUAGAUAGUCAAAAAUUCCUUCAAUUAAUUGACAUUCAAGAUGGUCACCUAAGAAGAAAAAGGCUGAUUCGACUACAAAGUGGAAGGCAAGUAUUUUUCCAGUAGUUGGAGCAAAAGAUCAACCACUUCUAUCUUUAGUUGGUAAUGUCUUGCUUUCCCCUUUUUCUUCUAAUUGAUCUACUUCUAUUUAGUUAUUGUACCUAUUGGCGGAGUUUGUUUCACUGAGACACUAACAUAAACUAAACGUUACCAUAAACUUAAGAAUUUGGUUAGGUUUCUAAAGCAAUAGCAGGUAUCUUAGAUUAAUUGUUUCUACUCUCUUACCAAUUAGUUAAUAUUAGUCAAUUUUCUUUUGUGUUUUCUUUAACCUUUCCUUUUGGUUUUGUUUCUCUUUUGAAUUAUCCACAUAGACUAUUUUGUCUUGCCGUUCCUUCAAGGUAUUUUCCCCUAUUUUGUGCUUUUUGUUUGUCUGCUGGAAUUAACUCUUUUGGUCUAUUGGGAAUUGGGAUUAACUAUAUGGAGAAAGUGAAGGAAAAGAAAAGUGAUCUUAUUACAAUAAGGUUUGGAAAAUUCUGAUGAAAAUAGUCAUCUAAAAAUAAAUUCAUUAAGAGCGUACUGUAAGUUUAUAAAGAUUUAGUUCUUGCAGUUUUUAAAAAGAUGGAUGAGCAGUGUUGUUGAGUGGACUUUUCUACCAAAGGAAGAAACAGGUAAUUUGGAAUUAUGGAUGCAGGGGAAAGUACAAAAUGAAGAGAUCCAAAGCAACGGGAACUCAUUAUAUGUGCAGCUUGAUUUGGAUAUAUAGAUAACCAUGAAACUGGCUUGAGGUUUCUGCUUUAGUGAAGAAACCGGAAAAAAUCAUGUCUUAUCUUGUUUCUGAUGUGAAGCAACACGAUCAACAACAAUAUAUCUCUUUCUGAAAAUUCAUCUUUUUACAUGUAAUUCAUUCAAAUAUUUCACUUUCGACUUCAUCUUUACACUCUCCGUUUAUCAUUCGCUCUGCUAUAGACAUGAUGAUCUCAACUCAAUUGGAAUAACAUGUUCUCUCAGACAUAUGAGUUGGUAGAGGAGUGGAUGCAAACAAACUAUUAUGAUAUGAAGAGGAUGGUUGAACAUUAUUCUACUCUUCCAGUUAUCUAAGUCUCCAAGGGUUGUAAUGUUUCUUUUUCCACGAGAAGGCAGGGACGAAGCCACAUGGUCAUAAGGGUCUUCUUCGAAAAAUUACACUGUGUAUAUAGGUAAAAUAUUACGUUUUAGAGGUAUAUAACAUAUAUUGAACACCCUUUAUUGGGAAUUUUUUCCACUUCUUUCAAAUUUGAACACCCUUGGAGAAAUUCCUAGCUUCGCUCGCCACUGCGAGAAGGUAUUAACUUGGCAACUACUCUCCUCUUGGAAAUGGAAGUUCUAAUCUACUGAAGUACUAUUUUGUUUAGUUCCUGUACUCAGCUUUCAGGGACUUCUUGCAACUUGACUAAGUAGCUGCAUUUUCCAGAGAAUAAUGUAAUUCAGUUUCCAGUGAAUUUGUGUUAUUCAAAUUUCUAUUAAAAAGUUAGGCUUGUACAUGCUUUGUCCCGUGCAAAUAAUAAAUUCUGAAUUAAAAGCA
This is a non-coding RNA of Nicotiana tabacum (common tobacco), 1635 nucleotides long. NCBI's taxonomy places the organism in Eukaryota, Viridiplantae, Streptophyta, Magnoliopsida, Solanales, Solanaceae. The record is from RefSeq and is a predicted model, not a curated record.